CACAGCCACUCAGCACAGCCCACCUCGCCCAUUGAACUAAAUCUGUAAACCCUAGCCGCACCGCAUUGCCGCAAGCUCAGUUGCCCAGAUGCGCUGCGGCGCUGACGCCCAUUCGCCGUCACCCUCACUCGCGCGACUGGGCGACUGGCGAGUCGCUUCUCCGCCGUUCGCCCUCUCUCCACUCGCCAGGAAGCGAACCCCUAAGUGCCAGUCGCCACGGCCACGCCUCUCGAGCAAUAGCCGCCGCUACCGGCCCAUCAGAUGGAGUCACCGUCCCGUCCACGCCGGCACGCCAACCCUUCGGCCAUGUCGCGCCGUCCCGUCCAUGGAUCCAAGCCGGCACGCCGCACCGUCCCGUCCACGGAUCCACGCCGGCACGCCGCGUCGCCGCCCCUUCGGUCUCGCCGUCCCGUCCACGAAUCCACGCCAGCACGCCGCCCAUUCGGGCUCGACGUUCACGGUGAGCCUUGGGAAUGUCAACUCCAGGAACCAGUGGGUCGCAGGCUGCAGGUGCAGGAGCAGGAGCAGCUGCAGGUGCUAGCUGUUCUCGUUCACCCUGCGCCGGGAGGAGGGAAGCGGUGCGGUGCUAUGAAGUCUAACCAUACUCGCAAUGGCGGACAACGAGUAGGAUGAGAGGAAGGAGGAGGUCGAUGAGCAUUUGAAGUUCGGUGAGUAGCUACACGUUGCAAGAGAAAAUUAAACUGCCGAGCCCUGAGGGUAGGGUUGAUUUGAAGUUCGGGUGCUAGAAGCAUUGGAUUUUCACUCUCGAAAUGCUCUUGGUGCUGUCCUGCAUUUUUCUAUAUUUGACAAAUAGCUCACUCCUGUUGAUCCGACCAAGAAAAAGGAGGUUGUGAUCCAAGGACCAAGAUCCAUCUGAUGAAGUGGAUAAGUUGGUAGACAAGACAGAGAGCUUGGUAGGUACGUGUAGUAUCUCCACUACUUAAAACGUUUGUAAAAUCCUUCCGUUGUGCGCGGUCUGCCCCUGCUCCCCCGUCCGCCCGCAAUCCAAUGCCCCUUCUGCUUCCGCUUCGUCCCGUGUUCGUCCCCUAACCGCUUCGUCACCUUCUUUCCGGUUGUUACGCUAAUUUGGAAUCCUCAUUUGGAAUCCAACCGUGAGGCCGUGCCGUCGCAGCCUCUUGUCCUCCACCUCUGCCGCGUCAGCCGCAAAGUUGGCCACUACGACCCCGCUCUUCCCCAGAUGCCCCCACCCGCACCAAUACACGCACGGUCAUGCCUCCCCUUCCUCGCCUCUGCCGCGUCGCAGAUCGGCAACGGCAACCGAGGCUAGAGUUCCGACGACCUUGGGCCGAUCUGGCGGCGAUCGGUGCUUUCCCCCAUGUGGAAUUGCACGGAUCCGGGCCUACUGUGGCCAAAUCUGGUAGUGGAGCAUCACGUUGAUCUUGGUCCUGGUGCCGGUCAUGUCGGCGGCUCGGCUGGACUUUGAUGAUGACGACGACUCCUGCGUGCUAGACGAGCUGCUAGCCAUCGACGAGGAGGCGGAGCGGAGCCGGCUGGACGCGGACAGCGGGGGCGCGGCAGAGGCGGUGCGGUGGGCAUAGUCGAUGGUGCUGGUCCUCGACAACAACAACACGCGCCGCGCCGUGGACGACCACACUGAGCUGCUGCUUUUGGGGUACGUGCCCUGGUGCGAGAGCAGUGUCUAGCUCAUGUCCUGGUUCGCCGAGGUCGCCGCGGCGCUGCAUGCGAUGGGCAACACUGUCGUGUUUGCCAAGCUCGACAGGGAGUGGUACCCUAAGGUGGCGGCCGCCAUCGGGAUCAAGGGUUCCCCACCGUGCUCCUCUUCAUCAACGGCACCGAGCACGCCUACACUGGCCUCCACACCAAGGACGCGAUAGUUACUUUGGUAAGAAAGAAGACUGGUGCGCCGGUCAUCAGGCUUCAGUCUAGGGAUUCUGCUGAGUUCCUGAAAAAGCACCAUUCUGCCUCAGUACUCAUUCCAGCUAUGCGCAUGGUGGGUAACAUUGUUACUGGAGAUGAUUUGCAGACUCAGUGUACAGGUCUCAUGAAACAGAUGGUUGUGGACUUGUGGUCUGGUGCAGUGUACAGUCUUCGAGUUUGGUGAGCCAAGUUUUGCCGGUAUGAAAAAGAAGAAACAUUUUAUCAUCCGUGCGAAUUUCAAGUGGAACAUGAUUCUUCUCUUACUGAAGCUAGAGAUGAUGAUGAUGUUAUUGUUGCUUGGCAGGGUAUUUAAUAUUCUGCGUGAGAAUAAUCCAGAUCUUGCCAGCGAUAGACGAAGA
This is an RNA transcript of Phragmites australis (common reed), 2258 nucleotides long. RefSeq lists it as uncharacterized. Lineage: Eukaryota; Viridiplantae; Streptophyta; Magnoliopsida; Poales; Poaceae. The record is from RefSeq and is a predicted model, not a curated record. The transcript is spliced from 12 exons.